Molecule: ribosomal RNA, 330 nt
Filed under: uncultured eukaryote
Lineage: Eukaryota
Description: partial 18S ribosomal RNA
Rfam family: Eukaryotic small subunit ribosomal RNA
Source: RNAcentral
CCCUUAGAUGUUCUGGGCCGCACGCGCGCUACACUGAGCCCUUCAUCGAGUUUACAACCUUGGCCGGUAGGUCUGGGUAAUCUUCUCAAAGGGGCUCGUGCUGGGGAUAGAUUAUUGUAAUUUUUAAUCUUCAACGAGGAAUUCCUAGUAAACGCAAGUCAACAGCUUGCAUUGAUUACGUCCCUGCCCUUUGUACACACCGCCCGUCGCUACUACCGAUUGAAUGGCUUAGUGGGCCCGAGGGACUGUUGCACCUAGAGGGUUUUCUCUCCAGGAGCAGCUGGGAACUCGGUCAAACUUGAUCAUUUAGAGGAAGUAAAAGUCGUAACA